RNAcentral lists this ribosomal RNA (511 nucleotides) under uncultured bacterium. Its description in RNAcentral is "bacterial SSU rRNA". It matches the Rfam family "Bacterial small subunit ribosomal RNA", at positions 1 to 507 of the family's 1533-position model. The record is from RNAcentral.
UCGACGAGUUUGAUCCUGGCUCAGAUUGAACGCUGGCGGCAUGCUUUACACAUGCAAGUCGAACGGUAACAGGGACUUCGGUCUGCUGACGAGUGGCGAACGGGUGAGUAACAUAUCGGAACGUGCCCAGUAAUCGGGGGAUAGCUCGGCGAAAGCCCGGAUUAAUACCGCAUACGCCCUGAGGGGGAAAGUGGGGGAUCUUCGGACCUCACGUUAUUGGAGCGGCCGAUAUCGGAUUAGCUAGUUGGUGGGGUAAAGGCCUACCAAGGCGACGAUCCGUAGCUGGUCUGAGAGGAUGAUCAGCCACACUGGGACUGAGACACGGCCCAGACUCCUACGGGAGGCAGCAGUGGGGAAUUUUGGACAAUGGGCGAAAGCCUGAUCCAGCCAUGCCGCGUGAGUGAAGAAGGCCUUCGGGUUGUAAAGCUCUUUCAGGUGGAAAGAAACGCGGAUGGGCUAAUACCCUGUUCGGAUGACGGUACCACCAGAAGAAGCACCGGCUAACUACGUG